UGAGUGAUGAAGGUUUUCCGGAUCGUAAAGCUCCUGUUGUUAGGGAAGAACAAGUCGCCGUUCAAAUAGGGCGGCACCUUGACGGUACCUAACCAGAAAGCCACGGCUAACUACGUGCCAGCAGCCGCGGUAAUACGUAGGUGGCAAGCGUUGUCCGGAAUUAUUGGGCGUAAAGGGCUCGCAGGCGGUUUCUUAAGUCUGAUGUGAAAGCCCCCGGCUCAACCGGGGAGGGUCAUUGGAAACUGGGGAACUUGAGUGCAGAAGAGGAGAGUGGAAUUCCACGUGUAGCGGUGAAAUGCGUAGAGAUGUGGAGGAACACCAGUGGCGAAGGCGACUCUCUGGUCUGUAACUGACGCUGAGGAGCGAAAGCGUGGGGAGCGAACAGGAUUAGAUACCCGGGGUAGUC
This 406-nucleotide ribosomal RNA is filed under the name Bacillus amyloliquefaciens. RNAcentral's name for it is "bacterial SSU rRNA". It matches the Rfam family "Bacterial small subunit ribosomal RNA", at positions 402 to 795 of the family's 1533-position model. The record is from RNAcentral. Lineage: Bacteria; Bacillati; Bacillota; Bacilli; Caryophanales; Bacillaceae.